CUCGCUCUCGGGCGGCAAAACAUGAGCAGACUUUUGUUACGACCCAUGAACAACAAGCCCUCGGCGGCCCACUGAUGAGAAGCCCUAUACUCCAAGUCUCCAAUUCGUAAAUUUCGUCCAUGGAUGCAUCCCCUUCCCCUGGAGAGGAGGUCCUCCCGUCGCCGGCGAGGCGACAGAUGAGAUGAGCCUCUCCGCCACCUUCCGGGUCGCCAAAAUUCCCCGCACCACCCUCCCUCCAAAGUCUUGCAAGGCCACCCCCUCCUCGGUAUCGGCCUCCUCCGCCCCCGCGUCCGGAGAUCCACCGCCCAAGGCCGCCAAGAAGAAAAAGGAGGCGGCGCCGUGGUGCGUCUACCUCAUCUCCUCCUCCCGGGCCCCUCGUACAUACGUCGGCGUCACGACUGACUUCCCUCGGCGGUGAUUCAUCCUCCUUUUCCCUUUCGGGUUUCUACUCUCAGCCUGAUAUAGCCUCAGGUGGCCCUGGUGAAUUGGAUGAACUUUCAAAUUGAUUCCUCCAUUUGGUUGCAAUCCCCUCGAGAAACUGCAAUUUUGUAUUAGCUCGACACUAAAGAAGAUUAAUCGAUUCUACUGCUUCCACAAUUUUGUGUUUGCUGAUGAUUCCCUGGAAAAUAAAACAAGAUCCAGUAACUGAGAAUUGGCUCCUCUGAUAAAAGCCUGAAUAAUAUUGUCGCUGCCAUGAUUGUUUUUUAGGCUGUCUUGUCUUGCUCAGGCAUGUAGCUUGAGAUUCUUUUUGUGUUCGUGUUGGGACUAGGGGUGCAUAAAAGGUUAGGAAGUAUUCUUACACAAACACACACAAAAAAGAAUACUAUGUUUAAUCACAUGACUUAAGUUCUUAUUUCCUAACGAAAGGAUCAUUCUUUUUCUAGCUUGAGACAACAUAAUGGCGAGUUAAAAGGUGGUGCCAAAGCCUCUUCUGCUGGAAGGCCAUGGAAUCUCGCAUGCCUUGUCGAAGGCUUCACGAACAGAAGUGAAGCAUGCGAGUUUGAAUCGAAAUGGAAGAACAUCUCCAAGAAGAUGACACGGAAGAGGAGUGAGCCUGGCAUGAAUGCAGUAUUGCAGCACCGGGAAGUGGCAUUGAGCAGAGUAAAAACCUUUCUGGAUUGCAACCACCUCAACAUCAAAUGGCACUCAAGCUGAGGCCGUUUCUCCAAUUUUUGUAUGUACACAUGUUUUACUAUGCAAGAAAUCAUCCAUUAACUUACGAAGUUGGCGAGGUUUUUUUGUAGAGGCUUUUCUGCUUCCAUGGUUUUGUACAAAAAAGGUUCCCAUGUCUUGCAGCUCAAAUGAGCAUGCAUGACACAUUCAUCUGCUAGCCAAAUGAUCAUGCUGGCAAUUGUCUUUGCUAAGAAGGCACCUGAAUCGAGUGAGCUGGUGAUUGCAAUUUUUUUUGUACGUGCUCUUUAUUGACAGCAUCAGGCAUUGUUUAGCCUGGGUUGGAUAAGAAUGGUGUAAAAUGUAUUUUUGUAUAAUGAUUGAUCCCUUGCGUUGUUAUGUUGAGAUAUACUCCCUCCGUUCCUAAAUAUAAAUCUUUGUAGAUAUUUCACGAC
RNAcentral lists this ribosomal RNA (1565 nucleotides) under Triticum aestivum (bread wheat). RNAcentral's name for it is "partial small subunit ribosomal RNA". Lineage: Eukaryota; Viridiplantae; Streptophyta; Magnoliopsida; Poales; Poaceae. The record is from RNAcentral.